UGCGCAGGCGGUUAUGUAAGACAGAUGUGAAAUCCCCGGGCUCAACCUGGGAACUGCAUUAGUGACUGCAUAGCUAGAGUACGGUAGAGGGGGAUGGAAUUCCGCGUGUAGCAGUGAAAUGCGUAGAUAUGCGGAGGAACACCGAUGGCGAAGGCAAUCCCCUGGACCUGUACUGACGCUCAUGCACGAAAGCGUGGGGAGCAAACAGGAUUAGAUACCCUGGUAGUCCACGCCCUAAACGAUGUCAACUGGUUGUUGGGAAUUCACUUUCUCAGUAACGAAGCUAACGCGUGAAGUUGACCGCCUGGGGAGUACGGCCGCAAGGUUAAA
Molecule: ribosomal RNA, 330 nt
Filed under: uncultured bacterium
Lineage: Bacteria
Description: bacterial SSU rRNA
Rfam family: Bacterial small subunit ribosomal RNA
Source: RNAcentral